GUGUGUGUGUGUGUGUGUGUGUGUGUGUGGCAUUGUCUUUUUGCCACCAGAUCCAGCUGAAUGCUACACACGGCUCCUUUAGAGGAAGCGGUGUGGCACAUUAAACGGAUGCUGACAGACGAGGGCAGAAGUGAUCUUUCUAGCGUUUUGGGUGCGUUUUGUUUUACAAAUGUUUAUUCGAGCGGAGAAUGACGACAUUUCUGUUAAGAAAAGACGGCUUUGAGGCAUCCAGAAAAAUUAAAUGUUGGACUUGAUCAGACAAAGAACAGUGGAAAACCCACCUGAGCCUGAUGUGCAAAUUAUGCAAACUAAAGAGCAGCUCCAUCUAAAUAAAAUAGACACAACUUUUUUAUUCUCCGUCUUACCUCAAAACAAUACUUUUUGUCUUGCAGUUAACAUGCAAUACAUUUUGAUUUAACACAAGAAAGUCGGUUCCUGAUUCAGGUCUUUGGUAACAUUUAGAGCUCCUCCCCUUCUUUUCAUCCUUUUGGGUUAAAUGCAUGGCGUAAAGACGAUCAUGGAACAGAAAGGUGACUAAUGACAAAUAACCAUUAAGCAGGAUGAUUUCAUUUUAAACCCCGAGUGGGCAGAAAAAGAAAAAACCUUCCAUAGACACAACUCUAAUCUAUAAAUCAGCCGACAUAGAGCAACAUGAGCAUUCUUUUGGAGCUUGCGGGGUGUAAGAUUUACUAUCUCUCUUAUCCAAGUUAUUGUCUCCAUGAACUAAAAGGAUCUGGAUUUUAAGCUAACUAGAUAUGUGAUUUUCUGCACCAGACGUAGGAAUUACCAGACUAAGACACCUGUGUGUGUGUGUGUGCGUGCAGUGGGAUCCUGGAUUUAAUGUAAAUGCACGCCACUCUGAACCGUAAAUCUAUCACAAAGAGAAACACAGGUGGUGUACAGAAGAAGCCAACACAUAAAGCAUACGUGGCGGGGUUAUUGGGGAGCGAUUGGCAUGUUUCGGGCUCUGCGUGCUUCACAUUCUUAGCUGAUGACCUCUGUGAAAAAUAACAACAGCCGGGCUUGAAGGUCACGCUGUCAUGGCCACCGCCUGAGGCUGGUUCCUGGUACCGAACUGGAUGUUUCUAAGCCUCGUGCUGCUCUGUGCUGUAAUCGUGUGAUCUGGUGGGGGAGAUGUUCGGCACGGUGAUUGAGAAGACAUCGGUUUUUAGUUUAUUUUAUGAGAUGAGAUCAGAUAAACAAAAAAUAGCCAAAUGUACAGUAAACG
This is a long non-coding RNA of Gasterosteus aculeatus aculeatus (three-spined stickleback), 1228 nucleotides long. NCBI's taxonomy places the organism in Eukaryota, Metazoa, Chordata, Actinopteri, Perciformes, Gasterosteidae. The record is from Ensembl.